This 365-nucleotide ribosomal RNA is filed under the name uncultured Thermovirga sp. RNAcentral's name for it is "bacterial SSU rRNA". It matches the Rfam family "Bacterial small subunit ribosomal RNA", at positions 1017 to 1382 of the family's 1533-position model. The record is from RNAcentral. Lineage: Bacteria; Thermotogati; Synergistota; Synergistia; Synergistales; Thermovirgaceae.
CGGUAUGGGAGCGUACACAGGUGGCUGCAUGGCUGUCGUCAGCUCGUGUCGUGAGAUGUUGGGUUAAGUCCCGCAACGAGCGCAACCCUGCAUCCAGUUGCCAUCGGGCGAGCCGGGCACUCUGGAGGGACUGCCGGCGACAAGCCGGAGGAAGGUGGGGAUGACGUCAAGUCAUCACGGCCCUUAUGUCCAGGGCGACACACGUGCUACAAUGGCCGGCACAGCGGGAAGCGGAGGGGCGACCCUGAGCGGAUCCCUUGAAAGCCGGUCCCAGUUCGGAUUGCAGUCUGCAACUCGACUGCAUGAAGUUGGAGUUGCUAGUAAUCGCGAAUCAGAAUGUCGCGGUGAAUGCGUUCCCGGGCCUU